Molecule: non-coding RNA, 769 nt
Filed under: Mylabris sp. MYL01
Lineage: Eukaryota; Metazoa; Arthropoda; Insecta; Coleoptera; Meloidae
Source: RNAcentral
AAAAAGUUUAAUUUUAGCUUAAAAUUUAACUAUUUUAUUUAUUUAUAUGUAAUUUGUUAUGAUUUAAAAAGGUCUUAAAAAGAUAAUUUAUAAUGCAGUAUGUAGAAUUAAGAAUUAAUGGAAUUUAGACUUAGAAAUUAUAGGAGUGCAGACUUAAUUUGUGCCAGCAGUUGCGGUUAUACAAAUUGUGCAAGUUAAAUUUAUUUAAUUUAAUUAAAUGUUAAAUGGUAUAUAGUUUAAUUUUAAAUUUUUUAGGUGAAAUUUUAAGUUUAAUUUUUCUAUUUGGAUGUUUUUGAAGUUAAGAAAUUUCUUUUUAGACUAGGAUUAGAUACCCUAUUAUUGGAAAAGUUAUAUAAAAGUUAAAAUUAUUAAUAGUUAUGAUCUUUAAAAUUUAAAAAUUUGGCGGUAUUUUAGUCUAUUCAGAGGAACCUGUUUCAUAAUUGAUAAUCCACGAUUUAUAUUACUUUAAAUUUUAGCUUGUAUAUCGCCGUGGUUAGAAUAUUUUAGUAGAAUAAUAAUAUUCAAGCGAUUAAAUUAAAUAAGAGUUCAGGUCAAGGUGCAGUUUAUUUUAUAGAAGAAAUGGGUUACAAUGUAUUUAUAGUUAGUAUUACGUAUUUUAAAAUUCUAAUUAAAGUGGAUUUGAUAGUAAUUUUUUAAAUUUAUUUAAAAUGAUUAUGCUCUAAAAUAUGCACAUAUCGCCCGUCACUUUCAUUUAAAAUGAAAUAAGUCGUAACAGAGUAGGCCUAUUGGAAAAUGGGCCUGGAAUGUA